GAUGAACGCUGGCGGCGUGCCUAAUACAUGCAAGUUGAGCGGACAGACGAGGAGCUUGCUCCUCUGACGUUAGCGGCGGACGGGUGAGUAACACGUGGAUAACCUACCUAUAAGACUGGGAUAACUUCGGGAAACCGGAGCUAAUACCGGAUAACAUGUUGAACCGCAUGGUUCAACAGUGAAAGACGGUCUUGCUGUCACUUAUAGAUGGAUCCGCGCCGCAUUAGCUAGUUGGUAAGGUAACGGCUUACCAAGGCAACGAUGCGUAGCCGACCUGAGAGGGUGAUCGGCCACACUGGAACUGAGACACGGUCCAGACUCCUACGGGAGGCAGCAGUAGGGAAUCUUCCGCAAUGGGCGAAAGCCUGACGGAGCAACGCCGCGUGAGUGAAGAAGGUCUUCGGAUCGUAAAACUCUGUUAUUAGGGAAGAACAAAUGUGUAAGUAACUAUGCACGUCUUGACGGUACCUAAUCAGAAAGCCACGGCUAACUACGUG
Molecule: ribosomal RNA, 497 nt
Filed under: uncultured bacterium
Lineage: Bacteria
Description: partial 16S ribosomal RNA
Rfam family: Bacterial small subunit ribosomal RNA
Source: RNAcentral